RNAcentral lists this unclassified non-coding RNA (1547 nucleotides) under Hevea brasiliensis (rubber tree). The stretch from base 375 to 499 matches the Rfam family "Small nucleolar RNA snoR77". Lineage: Eukaryota; Viridiplantae; Streptophyta; Magnoliopsida; Malpighiales; Euphorbiaceae. The record is from RNAcentral.
GUAUAUAUAGUUCUCGAUCGUCUGCCUUUUACUGAGUUAGGGUUUUAGCCAGGCUGCGCUUGGGCACCAAUGAUUCUGGCUGUACAAUCACAUCGGUAGGAAGCAAAUUGUUUUCUAUGUAUAUGGAUUUUGAAUAUAUGGGGCUGGAGUUUGGCUCUUUGGCUGGUUACCUGUGCCAUAGAGAUGAAUGCAGCUCCCUAAAUCAAUCUUCUCAUCCUCUCACUCUUGUUCGCUACGAUUUUUUCUUAUCAUAGCGAAUUUCUUUGUGAGGUUGUCACAUUUUAUCCUUUAAAAUUCCUUUUUUUUUUUUUCUAAAUUUUCAUUUAAUUGGUUUCUGCCUUUCUUCUUUAAAGUUAAUUAUCGAGCAGUAAUUCAGGCAGCCUCUUUGCAGAAGAUAUAGUAGCGAAGAAGGUGUUUAACUGCUCGGAUAUUAAUUGCCUUUUGCUCUUCAGACUUGCUGAUUUUUCAUUGAAGCUGGUCUAGUAAGCCUAAGCACAGUUAUGACUUUUCAUCUAUUUUCUUACCCCUUUCUUCCUUGGAAGUUGAAUUUUAUAGAUUGUUUGUUCGGUGGCAAGUGUGGGAAGCAAGAAGAAAAGGAAAGAAAAUCUUUUUUAUUGGGAUUUUAGAUGAGGAAUCAAGGGGAAUAUCAAUAUCAAUAUAAACUAGAUAUAGCGGAUUGGUUGGUUGCAGAAGCCUACUUCUCUCUGAUGCUCUUUUGAAAUAAUAUUGAUCUCCAUUUUGUUAGUCUGUCUAGUCUGAACAAAAUUCCGAAGUUCAUUAUUAAGAAAAUAAAAAUUUUGCAGCUUUGCAUCAGUGUGUUUAUACCAACGAAGUGCUUGCUUGAGAACAAGAUGAGGUGAUAAUUAGAAGAAUCAUUUAAAGUUAGUCUAGAAGAAGAAGAAAUUCAAUUUAAUACUUUAGAAGUGGAAAUUCAGCCUUCUAUGCGUCUUAAAAUAUAAAAUUUAAAGUGAUAUGUUGAAUUAACAGUAAGCUUAUUAUUGUGUUGUGUCUUGCUCUGAGACCAUAUCCAAGCAUUGGCUCAAUUUAAGUUUGCUGAAGUUAAAAUCCAGGUCUGAAUUUACAUUUUUGUUUCAAAUGUCGGGCUUAGAUUCUGCGUGUUAAUUAAGUGUGGAAUUUUUUGGUUUGAAUUAGUGAUCUUAAAUUGUUUUGUUCCUUUCCUUCCUGAGGAUUUAUUUAUCCUAUCAGGUUUCAGUACAGUUUGUUACUUCCUGACAAACUCAAUUGUAAGAAGUAAUUGAUAGAUAUCUUAUUUUAACAUAGUCCUAUGUAUGCUGCUCUGUGUUUUGCAGCAUAUUUAUUAGCAGGUGGUGUGAGCCUUCUAUUAAUGCUAUGUGUCUGUCAUGCCAUUGCUUGGAUUUCUGUUUGAAUGUACCUUAGAAUCCUGUAUACGUGAUUUGUGAUGCAUAGAUGCAUCUCUUUAAAAGAGAUUAUGGUGAUAAUCCUCACUUCUAUGCUUAAAAUUUUGAUGCAAAUUGGAUACGUCUUAUGUCCUAACUGUAAAUUUUUCAAAUGUGUUACCUUCCCAA